Molecule: long non-coding RNA, 2868 nt
Organism: Dreissena polymorpha
Lineage: Eukaryota; Metazoa; Mollusca; Bivalvia; Myida; Dreissenidae
Exons: 11
Source: RefSeq, a predicted model, not a curated record
UCUAACAGACAGAGCAGGUGCUGAGUGACUCGUCUGUUAACUUGACUGACCUCGAUACGUUGCUCUCGAAUAAUGAGAACCUGACGCACGAAGAACAGUGCUGUCCAACAUUCCCAGUUUUUGGUUGGCGACUUCACUGUCGGGACUCACACAAUCUCUGCCUAUAAGCAACAAAAACAGGUUUUCAGUAUACAGAUAUGCAACUGGAGUGAUGAUAUGCCCUGAAGAUAUUUAUACCCCUGUUAAUUGGGGUAUAAAGGAAUCCCCUUGGACGGACGUCUAUCUGUCUGUCUUUCCAUCUGUCUGUGGGCGUUCACUUAACAAUUCAACGUUCAGCUUUCAAACUUUCAGGACCCCAUACCAUCACAGUUUGGUACUCAGCAGAAUUACAGGCUCUCUGGUGAGCUGGAGCUGGACGCCCAAGGACAAUUCCCGAGUAUAGGUGUCGAGCUCCUGGGCCAGGAAUUCGGGGCAAAGCUCAACAAGUCCUACCCCCAGGGUACAGCCACUCUAACCUUGGGGCUCCACACUUUCCUGCUCAGGGGCAGAGAUUAUCUCAUCUACAAGCCUCAAUAUGAAUUGCAGCGGCAGUGGCAGAAGCAACACACUCACAAUUCAACAAUAAACAGUUCCAUUGACGAGUGCUUUUAAAUGUAUGAGACUUGAGAAUACACAUUAUCGAGACUCACCUGUGCUGAAUGUUUUCUUUAUUCUUUUACUGGGACAUCAUGUCAAUGAACAAGACACCCUUCCCUGAAAACCUCGCAGAUCUAAUGAACAGUGCAACUGCGCCAUAUGUGACCCUUUAGAGAAUGGAAUUACUGGCCAAAUAUCUAAUCGGUGCCAAUCUGGGCUCCAGAAGCAGCCUCAGCCAUGGGGGACAGGUUUAUGAAGCACCCUGAACUUCUCAAUCUCACAGCAACAGUAGAUCAACAUGACCUCUAGCAGCAGCCUCAGCCGUGGGGGACAGGUUUAUGAAGCAAUCUGGGCUCUAGCAGCAGCCUCAGCCAUGGGGGACAGGUUUAUGAAGCACCCUGAACUCACAGCAACAGUAGAUCAACAUGACCUCUAGCAGCAGCCUCAGCCGUGGGGGACAGGUUUAUGAAGCACCCUGACCUUCUCAAUCUCACAGCAACAGUAGAUCAACAUGACCUCCAGCAGCAGCCUCAGCCAUGGGGGACAGGUUUAUGAAGCAAUCUGGGCUCUAGCAGCAGCCUCAGCCGUGGGGGACAGGUUUAUGAAGCACCCUGACCUUCUCAAUCUCACAUCAACAGUAGAUCAACAUGACCUCUAGCAGCAGCCUCAGCCGUGGGGGACAGGUUUAUGAAGCACCCUGAACUCACAGCAACAGUAGAUCAACAUGACCUCUAGCAGCAGCCUCAGCCGUGGGGGACAGGUUUAUGAAGCAUCCUGAUCUUCUCAAUCUCACAGCAACAGUAGAUCAACAUGACCUGAAAGCGGUUCGUGUUCAGUGUCUAACAGUAUUCUAAUGACCAAGCCACGCCAGCAAAGCAGUAAUAAUAGCAGUCAAGUAAGUUGUCUUCAACAUUUAAGAGUACCAAGGGUCGCAGUCUUUUGCUCAAUACGGAUUGUUUUAAAUAAAACCUAAUGUAGUUAUUGAAAAUAUUUGUUGAUUUCCGUGUCAGAUUGAAAUGUUUUAUAGCACAAUACAUCAACACCACAAAUGCAUAUGAAUGAUUAACAAUAGAAUUAUUAAUGCCAAAAAUCAAAACAUAAAUUUCUUUAUAUUUUUCUUAAAAAAAUGUAUGAAGAACUUAUUAAGUUUGUUUCAAAAUAUAUCUGAACAAUAUGUGUUUCAAAAUAUAUAUCUAAACAUAUUGAUGUUUUAGACUUCCCUUUGAUUUAUUUUCCCUAUGAUUUCUCUUCUCCUAAACAGGUCGAGGAUCACCCAUAACUACUUGGUGCCUAGCAAUGAUUUUUCUGCUACCAACUUGACCUGAUUAUUGUACUCACGUGGGAGUCAGGUUUAAGGUCACAUAAGUUAACAACAUGACUGCACAAUAUGGCAUCAAUGGCAAAGAAGAAGUGAUCAGAGGGGGUUAUAACGUGCAAGUCAAGAAGGCGACGUCCAUGACGAGUCUGAAAACCCUGAUUGCAAAAUGCAGAGUCUGCUCCGGAAGCAUUUGCAGACACAGAACAUGAACGGCUGCAGUCAUUGUCUUCAUAUUAUAUCAUCUCUAUGGUGCAGGACCCUCAGUCUGUGUACACAGGGAACCUUCGACGCCAAUGACGAAAUCAAACCAUCCAAUCAGAAACACAUCCUGUUGCAGCAGUUAUUACCAUAUUGACCCCAGUCAAAAAAAGAAGCUCAGAGAUAAAUACUGUUUAUGGUGUUCUAGUCUUUACAUACCUUGUGGUAUGUUGAGCACGUACUCUGACAGGUUUCAUCUUAUAAUUGUUUGACUGGUGGAAAAUAAAUGACCUUGUUCAAGUCGAAAUAUCAGAAUAACAAUUCAUAAUUCAAAUGCCAAAAAGUCAUAUCAACAGCCACAUUUGUUAUGUGACCAGCAAAGUUGAAUUCAAAGUGACACAAUAGUUUUCUUUAUAUUUUGUUGUGACCAACCAAGUUGUAUUUAAUGAAAAACAAUAGUUUAUGUUUUAUGGGAAUUAUGAUGCUGUCAGUCAUGUUAUGUUGGACGUUUUAGUUAAAUAUAGUAUGUUACAAAAUGUAUUAUUUGAAGCACACAUAUUGCAGGUAUAUCAAAUGUCUGUGUUUGUAUUAUGAACCUUUCACUUCAGAUUUUGAUCCGGAUAUGGUAAAUUUAAGGGAAAUACACUUAAACACCGUUAUUUCGAACACCGAUAAUCCAAAGUCACAGUUAUUUCAAGGUAUUGUUCGGGUCCUGA